This 99-nucleotide ribosomal RNA is filed under the name Acanthosepion pharaonis. The record is from RNAcentral. Lineage: Eukaryota; Metazoa; Mollusca; Cephalopoda; Sepiida; Sepiidae.
CGUUGAAACACUGGUUCUCGUACAAUCACUGAAGUUAAGCAACAUCAAGACUGGUCAGUACCUAAAUGGGUGACCGUUUGGAAAUACCAGGUGUUGUAA